Molecule: ribosomal RNA, 34 nt
Filed under: Ficus itoana
Lineage: Eukaryota; Viridiplantae; Streptophyta; Magnoliopsida; Rosales; Moraceae
Description: partial 18S ribosomal RNA
Source: RNAcentral
UUUCCGUAGAUGAACCUGCGGAAGGAUCAUUGUC